AGGCAACGAAGUUGAAGAUCGCCAAAAACUUCAAGGAAGUACAGCCAGAAGAAGUUGACAUUUGUGUGCAAGGGAAUACAAACUUGAAGAAACAGGGAAGCAGUAGUUCAAACUACGAGCUAAGCAUUCAGUGCGCCCAAAGGGAAGUACAAAGAAGUUUGAUGUGUGAGACGCCAUAGCCCCCAAAACCAGUUGAGGAGAUUGUUGAUGUGACAACACCUGAAGUUCAAAUGUCAACUGGGUGGAAUCACAGGCAAACUUGCUACUCACCAUGCAAAAAUAACAACGAGUACACAGCCGAGACUCCCCCACUCAAAAUGAAGAAGGACUACUCCAUGGUUCCAAUAAUAGGAAAAAGGUUAUUUGCAGAGGAGGAAAGCUGUCAACAAGAAUCCAGUGGCAGCAAAAGGAAUCCAGUACAACUAAUGGAAGAAAAAACUUCAGGACAACUCAAAAUUCAUGGAGAAAACAUGUUUUGGCAAGAGCGUAGCACAUUGGUCAACAUAACUGAUGAUUUUUACAACACAAAUAUCUCGUUAGGAAGGCCAAGCAGUUUCAGUGGAAAAGAAAAUGCACCACCAAAGAGGAUUGUCCAACCAAGCAGGUACCGUAGCUCACCGUACGACUGCAGCAAAAGGGGCCCAAUAAUGCCACAUGAGAGAAAGAUGUAUGAGAACAUAACAUCUCUGGCCAAUGUUGAAGGAUCCAAACCUGCAGUUUUGAUUGACAAAACCAUUGCCACAUUUGGACAGUUGGGUAACUCGAUGAAAAUAGGUGGCCGGGUCCAGGCCUAUGUCAUAAAUGUGUACUGUAGGCACCUAUUUAAUGAAAAUCAUCCUAGGAACUCACUCAAGCACUAUUUCUUCCACACUGCAUUUGAAUAUUUCCUGGGCAAAUGGAAAAAUGAUGAGGCAAGAAUUUGGUGGAGGAAGAAACUGAUUACGAGUUUCAUUGGAGCUGGAAAAGCACAUAAUCUUUCGAUGUUAGACAAGGUUUUUUGUCAAACUUCCUCUUUUCAUUUUUCCACAACACAAGUUCAGCUAUAAUUUGGUUUAGUGUUUUUUCCUUAUUUCAAUAUACACUAACUUGUUGUCUAUAUUUUCCCUUUUUCUGCAUCAACUCCAAAAUGGAUGUACACAAGUUGUACUUUCCAACACUACACGAGGAACAUUACUUUCUGUUCGUCGUUGACAUCAAGGGUCACAUGUUUUAUUUUCUAGAUUCUUUCUACGAUGAGAAGAGCUCAUAUCAUAUGAACAUAAAAAAGAAGAUUAUCUCAAGCUUUAUAUGCACUUGGUAUGAAGCUCGGCUCCAGCCAAUGGAUUUCAAUGCAUUCCCUGCUGUUUACCCUAAAGUCCCUCAACAAGAUAACGAUAUUGAUUGUGGCAUUUUCACUAUGAAACUAAUGGGAUGGUGCCCAAGGAAUCCAACCCCUAUAGUUUUUUCACCAAAAGAUGUCCCAGAUGCAAGGAUCUGAUAUGCUAUUGAUCUCAUGUUCAGCCACUACAACACUUUGGAUGACGAGAAGAAGCGUGUGAAGGAGUUCCGCCUAUAGACAUGAAAAAGUGCUGACAGCUCCUAAAAGACACCACUCAUAGAUGAUAAGAGGAGCUGUAUCAAGAGUCAUAUGUGAACACACAAUGCUACAGGCAUAUAUAUGUGAACACACAAUGCAAAUAUGAUUCCUUGAAAGAGAAGGGGCGGGGGGGAAUAUAUGUAUGCUACAGGCAUAUAUAUGUGAACACACAAUGCAUAUAUAUUAGUUUUUAGUAUCUGCAAGCAUGUUUUGAACAUGUAUUCGUGCUCGGUUUUUUUUUCCAGUAUGCUCUUUUUUCAAGCAAAAAAAUCUGAAUUGUGUUUUUUACCCGUUUUUUAAAGUAUUCAAAGACCAAAGAAAGUUUGAUUGUUUUGAUAUAAACACUCACAUUUUUUGUGUCUGUUUGUGUUUUUUUGACAGAAAAUACCCAAGAAAGUUGCUGCUGCCACGCUGUUUGAAGAACAGGGGGUUGUUGGUAUUUCUGUGGAUGGUUGGAGAUUCAAAAAAAUCUCAUAGAAAACUACUGAUGAUGGCCGCAUUGUGUUUGGCAGCAAGAAGUGGAAAAACUUCGCAGCUAGCAGAGGACUCAAAGUCAACACAGCUGUUCUUAUUGGCUUCAAGAGCAGCGAGAGGGAUGAUGUCCAUGUCCUGGUUAUCUUGAAGAAGCUUGGCUAGGCACCAGGCACAGCAACUGAUGACAAGCAGAGCUGCGUCUAUAAUACUCAUCUGUUGGGUAUUCUAUAUAUUUCUGUGUCGAAGUCUGUAUGACGAACCUUUUUUCAUUUUUAUGCCAUGUUGAACCUGUCAAUGUAGUUUUGCGUUUCUUAUGUGUCCACCAAACAAUGCGGCUUGAAUAAUAUAUGAUGGGAACCCCUUUUUCUACAUUAUAUUCAAGGGUUCACCUAAGUUUUUUU
This is a long non-coding RNA of Triticum aestivum (bread wheat), 2451 nucleotides long. RefSeq lists it as uncharacterized. Lineage: Eukaryota; Viridiplantae; Streptophyta; Magnoliopsida; Poales; Poaceae. The transcript has 10 exons. The record is from RefSeq and is a predicted model, not a curated record.